UACGGGAGGCAGCGGUGGGGAAUAUUGCACAAUGGGCGCAAGCCUGAUGCAGCCAUGCCGCGUGUAUGAAAAAGGCCUUCGGGUUGUAAAGUACUUUCAGUCGUGAGGAAGGUGUUAAGGUUAAUAACCUUAGCAAUUGACGUUAGCGACAGAAGAAGCACCGGCUAACUCCGUGCCAGCAGCCGCGGUAAUACGGAGGGUGCGAGCGUUAAUCGGAAUUACUGGGCGUAAAGGGCACGCAGGCGGUUAAUUAAGUUGGAUGUGAAAUCCCCGGGCUUAACCUGGGAAUGGCAUUCAAGACUGGUUAGCUAGAGUCUUGUAGAGGGGGGUAGAAUUCCAUGUGUAGCGGUGAAAUGCGUAGAGAUGUGGAGGAAUACCGGUGGCGAAGGCGGCCCCUGGACAAGACUGACGCUCAUGUGCGAAAGCGUGGGGAGCAAACGAGGGAUUAGAUACCCGU
This 457-nucleotide ribosomal RNA is filed under the name uncultured bacterium. RNAcentral's name for it is "bacterial SSU rRNA". It matches the Rfam family "Bacterial small subunit ribosomal RNA", at positions 340 to 789 of the family's 1533-position model. The record is from RNAcentral.